This 306-nucleotide ribosomal RNA is filed under the name uncultured Peredibacter sp. Its description in RNAcentral is "bacterial SSU rRNA". It matches the Rfam family "Bacterial small subunit ribosomal RNA", at positions 1033 to 1340 of the family's 1533-position model. The record is from RNAcentral. Lineage: Bacteria; Pseudomonadati; Bdellovibrionota; Bacteriovoracia; Bacteriovoracales; Bacteriovoracaceae.
GAGAGGUGCUGCAUGGCUGUCGUCAGCUCGUGUUGUGAAAUGUUGGGUUAAGUCUCGCGACGAGCGCAACCCCUAUCGUCUGUUGCCAGCAUUAAGUUGGGCACUAUGACGAGACUGCCUGGGUUAACCAGGAGGAAGGUGGGGAUGACGUCAAGUCCUCAUGGCCUUUAUGUCUAGGGCUACACACGUAAUACAAUGGCGCGUACAAUGGGAAGCGAACUCGCAAGGGGGAGCAAAUCUCAAAAAGCGCGUCUCAGUCCGGAUUGGAGUCUGCAACUCGACUCCAUGAAGUUGGAAUCGCUAGUA